This is a long non-coding RNA of Oncorhynchus tshawytscha (Chinook salmon), 1503 nucleotides long. Lineage: Eukaryota; Metazoa; Chordata; Actinopteri; Salmoniformes; Salmonidae. The record is from Ensembl.
CAGUUGAUGAAUUUCAAUUGGUAUAUGGAGCCACAUUGGAUACGCAGAAGAACAAUAUCUGGAAAUUAUAGCGAAUGGGCCAUUGCUAGGCUACAUUGUAACAUUUUAGUCAAAGAACAUAAUCGCGAGGCUUUGAUCGGGCUGUCUCCCGUGGCUUUACAACAUUGAACAGCACCAUGGAGACCUCCGCACACAGUCAUAUUCUCAGGGAUGGGAUUCUAUAGGCUCUAUGAACUCUUCGUUAUAACAUUAUAGGGACGUGUACAUCACGGAAACUAUAUUGUAGCCACAAUCCAUGAGUAUAUGGCACGUCUUCGUUAAUUUGCGAUUUCAAAUCUUCAUCAAUGGUUCCAUUUUCAGCGAAUCACGGGGAUCUGGGCCUGGUCGGGUGUCUGUAGUAGUUUAUCCCUCCCGUCCGACUCAUUGAAGAACUCUUCGUCCAGCUUGAGGUGAGCAAUUGCAGUUCUGAUGUCCAGAAACUCUUUUCGGUCAUAAGAGACAGUAGCAGCAACAUUAUGUACAAAACAAGUUACGAACGAGUUACGAAAAAUAGCAUGGUUGGUUGGAGCCGAUAAGACAGCAGCCCUCCCCUCCGGCGCCAUCGUUGUAUCAAUCAUGACUGAAUACAUUUUGUUUUUUGGUAAUCAGAUUACAUGUAAUCAGUUACUCCCCAACCCUUCCUAUAGCCUUAUCAUAUUGUUAAAACUCCCAGGUGUCCAUUUCAUCUAGUUAAUCCCUGUUGUGUCUAUGAUCUGUCUCUCAUCAAAUUUGGUCUUACUGAGUGUGGAUUUUCCUCUAAAACUCCUUUCUUUCCCGUAGGAUUCACUCAGGAAUGCGAUUUUAGUGCUGAGUUACUGUACCUGUGAACAAAUGUGUGUUCUCAGAACACAUCUGCCAUCCUGAUGUGUCAGUAGUUACCUCUGACUCACACCAUAGGAGUUGUGUUUUACCAGACACCCCCGGUCCUCACCCCUCUCAUGCCAUGUUUCCCUUGAUUACUUAUGAAUUUAUCUUGAUUAUUUAUAAACAUUCUAAACUGAUUGUGGAAUGUUGAGAUCUAGCUACUCACACUGCUUGCUGUGCUUGGUGUAUUGAUUGGUUUGUGUUAAGGAAAACAAUCCUAGAUGCCGUGCCUACCUUAUGGCUCCAGGCAUCAACUCGCCACUUCCCUCCAAGAGGACACCCAGCUGUCCCUGUUGGUAAACCCAGCUGUUCCUGCUGGUAAACCCAACUGUUCCUGUCUGUCUCUCCAUUUUUCCUCUCAAUCUCUGUCUUGCUCCUUAUCCCCAUGUUUUUUUAGACUGUUGAAUGGCACAUUGUUAAGAAUUUAGGUCAAAUUUUGGUAAACCACCUCCCUUUGGUCAAUAACAAUGUCCUCUUCAGUGCAGAUUAAGUUAAAUGAAUAAGAAUGGAGUGGAUUCAUGUGAUGGGCUGGGUCAGACUGUCAGUGUCAAUACACAGUGAAUCUUUACUGUGACAGUUGUUUGUUUAAGAGGCGCCUCU